This 537-nucleotide ribosomal RNA is filed under the name Colletotrichum gloeosporioides. Its description in RNAcentral is "eukaryotic LSU rRNA". The stretch from base 175 to 328 matches the Rfam family "5.8S ribosomal RNA". The record is from RNAcentral. Lineage: Eukaryota; Fungi; Ascomycota; Sordariomycetes; Glomerellales; Glomerellaceae.
GGCUAUAUGGGUUCGCUCUACACCCUUUGUGACAUACCUAUAACUGUUGCUUCGGCGGGUAGGGUCUCCGUGACCCUCCCGGCCUCCCGCCCCCGGGCGGGUCGGCGCCCGCCGGAGGAUAACCAAACUCUGAUUUAACGACGUUUCUUCUGAGUGGUACAAGCAAAUAAUCAAAACUUUUAACAACGGAUCUCUUGGUUCUGGCAUCGAUGAAGAACGCAGCGAAAUGCGAUAAGUAAUGUGAAUUGCAGAAUUCAGUGAAUCAUCGAAUCUUUGAACGCACAUUGCGCCCGCCAGCAUUCUGGCGGGCAUGCCUGUUCGAGCGUCAUUUCAACCCUCAAGCUCUGCUUGGUGUUGGGGCCCUACAGCUGAUGUAGGCCCUCAAAGGUAGUGGCGGACCCUCCCGGAGCCUCCUUUGCGUAGUAACUUUACGUCUCGCACUGGGAUCCGGAGGGACUCUUGCCGUAAAACCCCCAAUUUUCCAAAGGUUGACCUCGGAUCAGGUAGGAAUACCCGCUGAACUUAAGCAUAUCAAAA